UGUUCGAUUAGAAUUGGAGAUAUUCAAUUCACUAAUAAGCGAGACAUAAUCUACAUCCACCAUUUCAAAGGGGGGAAUGAUUGGUUUGGGUGUCCAUUGGAAAGCAAAGAUGCUAUUGAGGAAUUAACUGUAAAGAUAGAAGACGUAUUCUGGCACUCAGAUUCUAUUGGUAGUGAUAGGGAUAAGAUCAGUGCCCAUGUGAAACUGUGUAAGGUGUUGUUCGAAAACAAGGAAUCAGAGCAGCAAAUGCCUAACCAACAAUCCAGUGCUAUGUUGGUGGCAGAUUUCUUCAGAUGGUCAGACGCUCAAGAUGAUGAUGAGGAGGUGGAGGAAGAAGAGGAUGUGUUGAGUGCAGCUAGCAACAAGAAGGAAACUUGUCUUGCAGAGGAGGAUAAGGCACCAUGUGUAGUAGUGAAACUAAAUGAUGGGUCCAACCAGCAAUCACUAGACCAACCAUCACUUGUUCAAGAAAAGGGAAAAACAUCUCCUUCUGACAAUACAGAGGAAGAAGAGGAGACGAUUAACGCAACCGUAAAUUCAUAUGGUGGGGUCAGAGGACCAAAUACUGUUCCUGAAGAGGUGGUUGAUAAGGAAGAAGACAACGCAGCUGAUCCAGGAGUAUGCAAUUGCGCAGUGAAAGCUGUUUGCUAUCGUCUUUGCAACUGUUUCAAUAUAGGGGUUUUUGUAGUCUUACUUCUCUAUGGUUUAUGGAGGUUUUAUUCUUCUGGCGAUGAAAUAUGGGUGCCACCACCAACUUGAUCAAUGAGUGACAAAUGUCGUGAAAGUUUCACGAGGAGGACUACAAGACCAUCCAACUAGUGGCUAGAAGGUUGCAGAAAUGUGUCCCUGAUUCAUGCUUUUAGGCUGCAUGUGUCCCCCAAUGGCAUAGAUGGCAGUGGAGAAAUAUUCCUAGCCUCUUCACAACUGGUGAAGAGAAAAAUGUGGUCCAGAAACAGAAAUCCAUGGGUCUUCCUACAAGCGAUGAGAUCCACAAGUGAGAGAUUCUCAAGAAAUUCAUGGCUGAGCAUUCUGAGAUGGACUUCUCAAGGGCAAAGAUAUCAUAGGAGGAUUGUUUCAAUUGAUACAUAAUGUUUACAGAGCUCAGGUUUUAAGCCAUUUUAGAGAUUUUAUGGGAGUUAAAACAAGUUAUGAGGCGGAAUUUCAUGUGUUGAUAGUGGGUCUCUCAAUGGCCAAGCAUCUUGGUUUCA
This is a long non-coding RNA of Macadamia integrifolia, 1208 nucleotides long. RefSeq lists it as uncharacterized. The record is from RefSeq and is a predicted model, not a curated record. The transcript is spliced from 5 exons. NCBI's taxonomy places the organism in Eukaryota, Viridiplantae, Streptophyta, Magnoliopsida, Proteales, Proteaceae.